Molecule: long non-coding RNA, 2497 nt
Organism: Eublepharis macularius
Lineage: Eukaryota; Metazoa; Chordata; Lepidosauria; Squamata; Eublepharidae
Exons: 5
Source: RefSeq, a predicted model, not a curated record
CAUAUAUUUUUGAAGGUCGUUGAUGCUGAUGUAAGCUGUUAAUUGAAGUGACCUCCAAGGGCUGCUGCAAGAUAGGAGAGCACCAGAGCCAAACGCUACAUCAAAGAGCCAACAGUGCUGCUAUCCCAGAACCUGAAUUCUGACGAUCAGGAGUUGGUCCUGAAGGCUUUGAAGUGUGUGCCUGAGACCCAGCUCCACAAAGAUGGACUGAACGCACUGAGGCUCUCUCUUGUGAGAGGAAACAGCAAAGUUGUCCAUGCAGCCAGGAGAGCAUUGAGCAGCUGGUGUACGUGAACCUAACUGAUAAGGAGGCUGUGUGGGAGUUAAGCAAACAGAACCUGAGGCUGUGCAAUGGCUCUGAGAUCCAUCUGAUUGGCUAAGUAAACCUCUGAGUUAUGAGGAGCCUGCUGCACAGGUCAGGAUGACGUUGGCCAGUUUGUUUCCCCCUCCUCAUCCCACCAAUGAGUCCACCCAGCAGAUGAGUACAGAUGGAGAUCAGAAUUGACAUCUCUACCUGCAUGUGAAUUGCUUUUGAUAGUGGAUUAAUCGUUACACAUCUCCAUGUGAUCCUCGGCAGAUAAUGAAGGUUCCUAUGCAUCCACAGAUAGAGUGGAAGAUGGACAAGAGGUAGAGUAAUCUAAUCCUGACUCUCAGGCUCGUCUUGCCGAUGCCAGAAACAUGAACAGACCCUUUGCGGUGCUUCAUGACAUGGCAGAGAAAUGGAUCACGCAAUGUGAGAGGGAGGAGCCAUCGAGAAUCAUAUCAGCAGUUAUCGGGGGUUCUCGUCAAAACAGUGUCGCGCUGCUCCCUGUGCAUCACAAGGCCUCAUCGAGACCCUCCACAGGCUGACACUCCUCCUCCUGCAUCAUCUGCCCGUGGAGAGUUUCCUACCCAUGGCCCUCUCUCUGAGUGCCAAUGUACACGGCACAGAAAACAGCAGUAAUCUCUUUCCUGCGUGUGGUAAAGGUCUGUUGCCUCCAGUUAAGAAGUAUGGUUGCAUCACGCUGUUCGGAGGUUGCCCUGUGCAUAGGUAGAAACUGUUUUUCUAUUUUCCAUUGGUACUAUUGUUGGUAGAGAAACAGGUAUUCAACUUGUUCCCCAUGUGGUUUGACUGGUUUUGUGACAGUAAAGCACAAUAACUACAGUUUUCUGGUUUAAAAAAAGAUCUUUUUCAAAAACUAGGCAAGGCAAACAGCGUACAGUGCUUAGAAAACAAUUUCUUUCCAACAUUCACUCGGUAAUAAAUAACAGUCAUGUAAUAAGAAAGAUCUAAAUAAUCAAGGAACAUCUGGAAUCUUCCAAGUAUUUACAGUAUAGUUCCUCCCUAGAAGCUGAGGGUGCAGUACUGGCUGAGGCACUUUCCAUGCAGGCCACUCUUCUUUCAAGCUAGGCCAAUUUUGACUUGAUAGCAAGUAAGAAUCUUGUUAUUAACUCAUAAGGCUGUAUAUGUAUCCAACUUUAGUCUCUCCCAUUUGAUUAGCAAAUCCAAGUGAAAAUCUUGCAGUUUAUCUAGAUUUCUUGCAGCAGAAGCAGAAGGGGUUAUUCCCCAUGACAGCUUUGUACUAAACUUAUCCCAGCAUUGUAAAAGAUUAUUCAUUACAAAAUUGUUAUACUUCUAGAACUUUCCCUUUUCUGUUUUCUUAAUCUACAAGUGAUGGGAAGACACUCCUCAAUCCACGCUUGCUCAGUUGCAAUUUCAGAAGGGUCCUCAAGUUCUAACACCCAUCUGCUGGUCCAAGAUGAUAGUGGUGCAGUGUGAGAUAACUAAAUAUUAGGUACACAACAAGGCACCCUAAAUAAGGACCUGAGGAAUUUGGAUUGGGUUGCUUCUAGUUUAGGGAAAUUUCUGAAUAAGCAUAUCUAUGAACCAUACAUGAGAUGGGAUAAUCACCUUAUCCUGAAAGUCUUUUAUUGCAUAUGGUAUAUGAGAACCCCCUUUGGUAAAAAAAGAAUUUUAAAAUUGCUACAACCACUCUUUGGGCAUUCUCAAUUACAUAGGAAAGCUGAGCGUAAGCCAGAUGAUUCGGAAAACUACUUCUAAAUAAUUGAAUGUUUUAACUUGAUCAGUCUCAUGACUGUCAAUCUGCCACCUGUACUUAAUAUAUUUUUUGGAGAAAAAACAAUUUUGGUCUUGGAGAAAUUGAUGGUUAACGUCUCCUCCUAACAGUAAGGCGUAAAUGUCCAAAGGGCUCUUCUGAGCCCUACGUUGGAGUAUGAUAGAAUGAUCAUUGUCUGCCUGUAAUAGUGUGGCAGUUGGUCUGUUUGCCAGAUUGGGUGGAUGGAAAUCUGGAUUGGUUAAGGUUUGCACCAUAGAAUGUAUAUAAAAAUUAAAUUACAAGAGAGCUAGGAUACAUCUUUGCUUCACACCUCUCCUGACAGAGACCAAAUGGGACAAAUAACCUGAUGGGUUGCAGCUCAUUGAAAAAUAAUUGUUUUCAUGUAGUGUGUGUAUAGGAGAAAACAGUCUGUGAUCUAUUGAAGAAGCUUCUAGUUUUAA